AUGGGAUUUGAGGUAGAGGAUUUCCUGGGAGAGCGAGUAGGAAGGAUGAUGGUGGGGUUCAUGGGGAAGAUGAAGAAGCAGAAGGUGAUCCACGGCCCGCACGCGACGCCGAGCCGCCACGCGCCUCCUCCCCUGCCGCUCCGCCUCCAUGCCGGGACAACGUACUGGGCCUUGCCGGACGCCGAGGACCAACGGUUCAAUGCCGCCGCCCACUCCGGCCUCCACCACACCAGCCCGAACCGCUACUCGCGGGCGCGCGGGGAUGGAGAACCCCGACGGGCACGCGGGGGCGGGUCUGGGCAGCGACCCGUCCGGGCUUCCCCCACCCCCACCGCCGCCCUUGGAUGCCGCGGGGCGGGUCUGGGCAGCGACCCGGCCGAGGUUCUCCCACCGCCACCCCCGCAUCUCCCGGGGGGCGCCCCGUACGACGGGGCGCAGGCAGCCAACGGAUCCGCGUACCCGGCCGAGCACGCCUCGCUGAACGGGACCUCCGGCGAGGCGGCGUGGGCCAUGGAGAACGGCGCCGCCGCCGCCGAGAUGGCCGAGCCCAUGGUCCCCGAGCAGUUGUACGAGGAUGCUGUGGCUUCAGUGGAAUAG
RNAcentral lists this ribosomal RNA (597 nucleotides) under Triticum aestivum (bread wheat). RNAcentral's name for it is "partial small subunit ribosomal RNA". Lineage: Eukaryota; Viridiplantae; Streptophyta; Magnoliopsida; Poales; Poaceae. The record is from RNAcentral.